CCUACGGGGGGCUGCAGUGAGGAAUAUUGGUCAAUGGACGAGAGUCUGAACCAGCCAAGUAGCGUGAAGGAUGACUGCCCUAUGGGUUGUAAACUUCUUUUAUAUGGGACUAAAAUGUUCCACGUGUGGGAUUUUGUAUGUACCAUAUGAAUAAGGAUCGGCUAACUCCGUGCCAGCAGCCGCGGUAAUACGGAGGAUCCGAGCGUUAUCCGGAUUUAUUGGGUUUAAAGGGAGCGUAGGUGGAUUGUUAAGUCAGUUGUGAAAGUUUGCGGCUCAACCGUAAAAUUGCAGUUGAAACUGGCAGUCUUGAGUACAGUAGAGGUGGGCGGAAUUCGUGGUGUAGCGGUGAAAUGCUUAGAUAUCACGAAGAACUCCGAUUGCGAAGGCAGUUCACUGGACUGCAACUGACACUGAGGCUCGAAAGUGUGGGUAUCAAACAGGAUUAGAUACCCGAGUAGUC
This 460-nucleotide ribosomal RNA is filed under the name uncultured bacterium. RNAcentral's name for it is "partial 16S ribosomal RNA". It matches the Rfam family "Bacterial small subunit ribosomal RNA", at positions 338 to 795 of the family's 1533-position model. The record is from RNAcentral.